RNAcentral lists this ribosomal RNA (515 nucleotides) under uncultured bacterium. RNAcentral's name for it is "partial 16S ribosomal RNA". It matches the Rfam family "Bacterial small subunit ribosomal RNA", at positions 28 to 523 of the family's 1533-position model. The record is from RNAcentral.
GAUGAACGCUGGCGGCGUGCCUAAUACAUGCAAGCCGAGCGAAUGGAUUAAGAACUUGCUCUUAUGAAGUUAGCGGCGGACGGGUGAGUAACACGUGGGUAACCCGCCCAUAAGACUGGGAUAACUCCGGGAAACCGGGGCUAAUACCGGAUAACAUUUUGAACCGCAUGGUUAGAAAUUGAAAGGCGGCUUCGGCUGUCACUUAUGGAUGGACCCGCUUCGCAUUAGCUAGUUGGUGAGGUAACGGCUCACCAAGGCAACGAUGCGUAGCCGACCUGGGAGGGUGAGCGGCCACACUGGGACUGAGACACGGCCCAGACUCCUACGGGAGGCAGCAGUAGGGAAUCUUCCGCAAUGGACGAAAGUCUGACGGAGCAACGCCGCGUGAGUGAUGAAGGCUUUCGGGUCGUAAAACUCUGUUGUUAGGGAAGAACAAGUGCUAGCUGAAUAAGCUGGCACCUUGACGGUACCUAACCAGAAAGCCACGGCUAACUACGUGCCAGCCGCCGCCGUAA